GGCGACGUCGCCAAGUGGUAAGGCACGGCUCUGCAAAAGCUGAACCAGCGGUUCGAAUCCGCUCGUCGCCU
This 71-nucleotide transfer RNA is filed under the name Chloroflexota bacterium. Its description in RNAcentral is "tRNA-Cys". It matches the Rfam family "tRNA". From Rfam's summary of the family: Transfer RNA (tRNA) molecules are approximately 80 nucleotides in length. Their secondary structure includes four short double-helical elements and three loops (D, anti-codon, and T loops). The record is from RNAcentral. Lineage: Bacteria; Bacillati; Chloroflexota.